CAGGUUAUCUUUAGAAGAUUUAUUAUUUACAUUAAUAAUUUGGAUGUGCAAUUCAUUAUAACUUGA
This 66-nucleotide transfer RNA is filed under the name Malcus auriculatus. RNAcentral's name for it is "tRNA-Val". The record is from RNAcentral. Lineage: Eukaryota; Metazoa; Arthropoda; Insecta; Hemiptera; Malcidae.